CGCUAUCACUCCUACGGAGGCAGCAGUGGGGAAUAUUGCACAAUGGGGGAAACCCUGAUGCAGCCAUGCCGCGUGUGUGAAGAAGGCCUUCGGGUUGUAAAGCACUUUCAGUAGGGAGGAAGGUAGUGUAGUUAACACCUGCAUUAUUUGACGUUACCUACAGAAGAAGCACCGGCUAACUCCGUGCCAGCAGCCGCGGUAAUACGGAGGGUGCGAGCGUUAAUCGGAAUUACUGGGCGUAAAGCGCAUGCAGGCGGCCUGUUAAGUCAGAUGUGAAAGCCCGGGGCUUAACCUCGGAAUUGCAUUUGAAACUGGCAGGCUAGAGUCUUGUAGAGGGGGUAGAAUUUCAGGUGUAGCGGUGAAAUGCGUAGAGAUCUGAAGGAAUACCAGUGGCGAAGGCGGCCCCCUGGACAAAGACUGACGCUCAGAUGCGAAAGCGUGGGGAGCAAACAGGAUUAGAUACCCUGGUAG
This 471-nucleotide ribosomal RNA is filed under the name uncultured bacterium. RNAcentral describes it as "bacterial SSU rRNA". It matches the Rfam family "Bacterial small subunit ribosomal RNA", at positions 328 to 793 of the family's 1533-position model. The record is from RNAcentral.